This 478-nucleotide ribosomal RNA is filed under the name uncultured bacterium. Its description in RNAcentral is "bacterial SSU rRNA". It matches the Rfam family "Bacterial small subunit ribosomal RNA", at positions 28 to 480 of the family's 1533-position model. The record is from RNAcentral.
AGUGAACGCUGGCGGCGUGGGUGAGACAUGCAAGUCGCACGAGCGAGAUCUGCCGAAAGGUGGAACUCGCUAGUGGCGAAAGGGAGAGUACAAAGCAGGUAACGUACCCUGGACACCGGGAUAGUCCGCCGAAAGGCGGUGUAAUACCGGGCGAUGCUCCGCGUCGUAAGGCGCGGUGUCAAAGGGCGGGGACCUUCGGGCCCGCCGGUCUGGGAGCGGCCCGCUCCGUAUCAGCUAGUUGGUGAGGUAAUGGCUCACCAAGGCGAUGACGCGUAGCCGGCCUGAGAGGGUGUUCGGCCUCACUGGGACUGAGACACUGCCCAGAGCCCUACGGGGUGCAGCAGUCUCGAAUCAUCCGCAAUGCGCGAAAGCGUGACGGUGCGACGCCGCGUGCGGGAGGAAGCCCUUCGGGGUGUAAACCGCUUUUUGGAGGUAUGAAGCGUCUCGGCGGAUAAUGCCGGCGACGUUGACGUCAACU